RNAcentral lists this ribosomal RNA (492 nucleotides) under uncultured bacterium. RNAcentral describes it as "partial 16S ribosomal RNA". It matches the Rfam family "Bacterial small subunit ribosomal RNA", at positions 29 to 507 of the family's 1533-position model. The record is from RNAcentral.
AGUGAACGCUGGCGGUAGGCCUAACACAUGCAAGUCGAACGGCAGCACAGUAAGAGCUUGCUCUUACGGGUGGCGAGUGGCGGACGGGUGAGGAAUACAUCGGAAUCUACUCUUUCGUGGGGGAUAACGUAGGGAAACUUACUCUAAUACCGCAUACGACCUACGGGUGAAAGCAGGGGAUCUUCGGACCUUGCGCGAUUGAAUGAGCCGAUGUCGGAUUAGCUAGUUGGCGGGGUAAAGGCCCACCAAGGCGACGAUCCGUAGCUGGUCUGAGAGGAUGAUCAGCCACACUGGAACUGAGACAGGGUCCAGACUCCUACGGGAGGCAGCAGUGGGGAAUAUUGGACAAUGGGGGCAAGCCUGAUCCAGCCAUACCGCGUGGGUGAAGAAGGCCUUCGGGUUGUAAAGCCCUUUUGUUGGGAAAGAAAAGCAGCAGGUUAAUACCCCGCUGUUCUGACGGUACCCAAAGAAUAAGCACCGGCUAACUUCGUG